AUGCACGCUGGCGGCGUGCUUAACACAUGCAAGUCGAACGAAGCACUUUAUUUGAUUUCCUUCGGGACUGAUUAUUUUGUGACUGAGUGGCGGACGGGUGAGUAACGCGUGGGUAACCUGCCUUGUACAGGGGGAUAACAGUUGGAAACGGCUGCUAAUACCGCAUAAGCGCACAGCAUCGCAUGAUGCAGUGUGAAAAACUCCGGUGGUAUAAGAUGGACCCGCGUUGGAUUAGCUAGUUGGUGAGGUAACGGCCCACCAAGGCGACGAUCCAUAGCCGACCUGAGAGGGUGACCGGCCACAUUGGGACUGAGACACGGCCCAAACUCCUACGGGAGGCAGCAGUGGGGAAUAUUGCACAAUGGGCGAAAGCCUGAUGCAGCGACGCCGCGUGAGCGAAGAAGUAUUUCGGUAUGUAAAGCUCUAUCAGCAGGGAAGAUAAUGACGGUACCUGACUAAGAAGCACCGGCUAAAUACGUG
Molecule: ribosomal RNA, 480 nt
Filed under: uncultured bacterium
Lineage: Bacteria
Description: partial 16S ribosomal RNA
Rfam family: Bacterial small subunit ribosomal RNA
Source: RNAcentral